CCUUUUCAGUGUUGGAAAGACACUUUCUUGCACUGAGGUCUGCUUAUUGUAAAUAUCCUGUACUUGUUUUUACACCUUUAAAGUUGACCUUUGACCUUUUUAGUGUUGGAAAGACACUUUCUUGCACUGAGGUCUGCUUAUUGUAAAUAUCCUGUACUUCUUUUUACACCUUUUAAUGUUAAAGUUGACCUUUGACCUUUUCAGUGUUGGAAAGACACUUUCUUGCACUGAGGUCUGCUUAUUGCAAAUAUCCUGUACUUGUUUUUACACCUUUAAAGUUGACCUUUGACCUUUUUAGUGUUGGAAAUACACUUUCUUGCACUGAGGUCUGCUUAUUGUAAAUAUCCUGUACUUGUUUUUACACCUUUAAAGUUGACCUUUGACCUUUUUAGUGUUGGAAAGACACUUUCUUGCACUGAGGUCUGCUUAUUGUAAAUAUCCUGUACUUGUUUUUACACCUUUUAAUGUUAAAAUUGACCUUUGACCUUUUCAGUGUUAGAAUUACACUUUCUUGCACUGAGGUCUGCUCAUUGUAAAUAUCCUGUACUUGUUUUUACACCUUUAAACUUGACCUUUAACCUAGGUUUCAAAUAUAGUUUGUCUGUUUCU
Oreochromis aureus is the source of this 609-nucleotide long non-coding RNA. The record is from Ensembl. NCBI's taxonomy places the organism in Eukaryota, Metazoa, Chordata, Actinopteri, Cichliformes, Cichlidae.